RNAcentral lists this long non-coding RNA (1050 nucleotides) under Nicotiana tabacum (common tobacco). RNAcentral's name for it is "long non-coding RNA (NTAB_LNC005394)". The record is from RNAcentral. Lineage: Eukaryota; Viridiplantae; Streptophyta; Magnoliopsida; Solanales; Solanaceae.
UUGCCUGCUCCCUCUACAACUACUGGAGGCUACUCCGGAGGAUCUAAUGUUAGCACGCUUUCUUUCCCAGCAAGAUAUUGUACAUGCAUAAGACGAACACUAUUAGCCACAACACAUAGAAUAAAAUACAAAACCAAUGGGGUUAACAACCCACACUUAUGUAUUUGGCAUGUUCAUAGGCAACAAUGUAUAUAGGGGACUUAGACUACCCAUAUAUCCAACAAGCAAGUCAUCACCAAACCAUCAAACCUUCCUCAAUUCUAGUAUAGCAACACCACCAGUUACAAAAAAGAAAAUCAAGGUGCUAUACUAACGGCUGAACUAAAAAAUAUAAAAUCAAGAAGUUAACUAAACUAGCUACUAAAAGCAAAAAGAAAAAAGUUAAACUCCAAACACUACACAAGUAUAUGGCAUGAACCGAAUGAGUCAAAUAGAAUUAGAAUCACAACAGCAUGAGGGGGCCAACACUCGAAAUUGUAAGUUUUAGGACAUGAUUGUCCACCCUACACGUCGAAUCACACACCAUCUAUACACAAAGCAAGAAACAUCAAUAACUUAUUUCAAAAGCCAAAAUAAUAUCAUUGAGGCAAAAACAUGUAGCGUGCACUAUGUCAAGGCCAAAUUUGAAGCUCAAUUUUCACUUGAAUCGCAUCAUAUAGCACACACCACCAAAAUUUAUAAAAAGAAUUUCAAACACCGCUCACAUUAACAAAAAAUCAUCCAUAAGCACAACAGCUAAUCAAAUCCCACAAUAAUGAAGUAUAAUUUCGGCCAAAUUAAGAGAAACAUACAAAAAAUCUACAAAAUAAAACCUUCAUAGGGUUUUGAUGAACUACACUAAAUUAAACUAAGUACACAAACAGAUUCCAAGAUAGAGUGGAGCGAUGAAAGAAGAAAACUUACCUUGAAGCUUGAGGGAGAUGGGGGGAUGGAGUCGACAAAGAAUUAAGGAGGGCUGGAGAAAGCUUUGGAAGUUAGAGUAGAAAGAGAGAAAUAGAGCUUGAGAGAAUGGGAGAAAGGGGUCAAGGUGAUUAAGACAGAUUGGGAAAA